This 429-nucleotide ribosomal RNA is filed under the name uncultured archaeon. RNAcentral's name for it is "bacterial SSU rRNA". It matches the Rfam family "Archaeal small subunit ribosomal RNA", at positions 146 to 576 of the family's 1478-position model. The record is from RNAcentral.
UUAAUACCGGAUAGAUCAAAGAAACUGGAAUGCUCUCUGGUCUAAAACUCCGGUGCCCAAGGAUGGGUCUGCGGCCUAUCAGGUAGUAGUGGGUGUAACGUACCUACUAGCCAGCGACGGGUAAGGGUUGUGAGAGCAAGAUCCCUGAGAUGGAUUCUGAGACAUGAAUCCAGGCCCUACGGGGUGCAGCAGGCGCGAAAACUUUACACUGCGGGAAACCGCGAUAAGGGGACCCCGAGUGCCAGCACCUAGUGUUGGCUGUCCUACUGUCUAAAUAACAGUGGUUAGCAAGGGCCGGGCAAGACCGGUGCCAGCCGCCGCGGUAACACCGGCGGCCCGAGUGGUAACCGUUUUUAUUGGGUUUAAAGGGUCCGUAGCCGGCUUACUAAGUCUCUUGGGAAAUCUGGCGGCUCAAUCGUCAGGCGUUCA